UACGGAGGGGGCUAGCGUUAUUCGGAAUUACUGGGUUUAAAGGGUGCGUAGGCGGCUUAAUAAGUCAGAGGUGAAAGGCUGUGGCUCAACCAUGGGAUUGCCUUUGAUACUGUUAGGCUCGAAUCAGGCUGAGGUUGGUAGAAUGUGGCAUGUAGAGGUGAAAUGCAUAGAUAUGCCAUAGAAUACCGAUUGCGAAGGUAGCUGACUGGCCCUUUACUGACGCUGAGGCACGAAAGCGUGGGGAGCGAACAGG
RNAcentral lists this ribosomal RNA (253 nucleotides) under uncultured bacterium. RNAcentral describes it as "partial 16S ribosomal RNA". It matches the Rfam family "Bacterial small subunit ribosomal RNA", at positions 524 to 776 of the family's 1533-position model. The record is from RNAcentral.